This 75-nucleotide transfer RNA is filed under the name Alphaproteobacteria bacterium. RNAcentral's name for it is "tRNA-Thr". It matches the Rfam family "tRNA". From Rfam's summary of the family: Transfer RNA (tRNA) molecules are approximately 80 nucleotides in length. The record is from RNAcentral. RNAcentral also lists the same sequence under 2 other names. Lineage: Bacteria; Pseudomonadati; Pseudomonadota; Alphaproteobacteria.
GCCGCUGUAGCUCAGGGGUAGAGCAGAGCUUUCGUAAAGCUAAGGUCGGGUGUUCAAAUCACCCCAGCGGCACCA